AACGAACGCUGGCGGCGUGCCUAACACAUGCAAGUCGAACGUGAUCCGCCCUUCGGGGUGGUGAAAGUGGCGCACGGGUGAGUAACGCGUGGAUAAUCUGCCCGAGGAUUUGGGAUAACAUCUCGAAAGGGGUGCUAAUACCGAAUAAGCCCACGGGGUCUACGGAUCUUGCGGGAAAAGGGGGGGACCUUCGGGCCUCCUGUCCUUGGAUGAGUCUGCGUACCAUUAGCUAGUUGGUGGGGUAAUGGCCUACCAAGGCGACGAUGGUUAGCUGGUCUGAGAGGAUGAUCAGCCACACUGGAACUGAGACACGGUCCAGACUCCUACGGGAGGCAGCAGUGGGGAAUUUUGCGCAAUGGGGGAAACCCUGACGCAGCAACGCCGCGUGGGUGAUGAAGGCCUUCGGGUCGUAAAGCUCUGUCUGGAGGGAAGAAAUGAUUGGGAGCUAAUACCUCUUGAUCUUGACGGUACCUCUGAAGGAAGCACCGGCUAACUCCGUGCCAGCAGCCGCGGUAAUACGGAGGGUGCAAGCGUUGUUCGGAAUUAUUGGGCGUAAAGCGCGUGUAGGCGGUCUUUUAAGUCUGAUGUGAAAGCCCCGGGCUCAACCUGGGAAGUGCAUUGGAAACUGGGAGGCUUGAGUACGGGAGAGGAGAGUGGAAUUCCUAGUGUAGGAGUGAAAUCUGUAGAUAUUAGGAGGAACACCGGUGGCGAAGGCGGCUCUCUGGACCGAUACUGACGCUGAGACGCGAAAGCGUGGGUAGCAAACAGGAUUAGAUACCCUGGUAGUCCACGCCGUAAACGAUGAGUACUAGGUGUUGCGGGUAUUGACCCCUGCAGUGCCGUAGCUAACGCAUUAAGUACUCCGCCUGGGAAGUACGGUCGCAAGACUAAAACUCAAAGGAAUUGACGGGGGCCCGCACAAGCGGUGGAGCAUGU
This 936-nucleotide ribosomal RNA is filed under the name uncultured bacterium. Its description in RNAcentral is "bacterial SSU rRNA". It matches the Rfam family "Bacterial small subunit ribosomal RNA", at positions 28 to 942 of the family's 1533-position model. The record is from RNAcentral.